This 466-nucleotide ribosomal RNA is filed under the name uncultured bacterium. Its description in RNAcentral is "partial 16S ribosomal RNA". It matches the Rfam family "Bacterial small subunit ribosomal RNA", at positions 28 to 507 of the family's 1533-position model. The record is from RNAcentral.
GACGAACGCUGGCGGCGUGCUUAACACAUGCAAGUCGAACGAUGAAGCCUAGCUUGCUGGGUGGAUUAGUGGCGAACGGGUGAGUAACACGUGAGUAACCUGCCCCUUACUCUGGGAUAAGCGCUGGAAACGGCGUCUAAUACUGGAUAUUACCUUUCAUCGCAUGGUGUUUGGUGGAAAGAUUUUUCGGUUUGGGAUGGACUCGCGGCCUAUCAGCUUGAUGGUGAGGUAGUGGCUCACCAUGGCGACGACGGGUAGCCGGCCUGAGAGGGUGACCGGCCACACUGGGACUGAGACACGGCCCAGACUCCUACGGGAGGCAGCAGUGGGGAAUAUUGCACAAUGGGCGCAAGCCUGAUGCAGCAACGCCGCGUGAGGGAUGACGGCCUUCGGGUUGUAAACCUCUUUUAGUAGGGAAGAAGCGUAAGUGACUGUACCUACAGAAAAAGCACCGGCUAACUACGUG